AUUAGCGGCGGACGGGUGAGUAACACGUGAGUAACCUGCCUUAGACAUUGGGAUAGCCUCGGGAAACCGGGAUUAAUACCAAAUAAAAUCAUAAUGACACAUGUCAUAACGAUCAAAACUCCGGUGGUCUAAGAUGGACUCGCGUCCCAUUAGCUAGUUGGUAGAGUAAAAGCCUACCAAGGCGACGAUGGGUAGCCGGCCUGAGAGGGUGAACGGCCACAUUGGAGCUGAGAAACGGUCCAA
RNAcentral lists this ribosomal RNA (243 nucleotides) under uncultured Eubacteriales bacterium. RNAcentral's name for it is "uncultured Clostridiales bacterium partial 16S ribosomal RNA". It matches the Rfam family "Bacterial small subunit ribosomal RNA", at positions 91 to 334 of the family's 1533-position model. Lineage: Bacteria; Bacillati; Bacillota; Clostridia; Eubacteriales. The record is from RNAcentral.